This 492-nucleotide ribosomal RNA is filed under the name Triticum aestivum (bread wheat). RNAcentral's name for it is "partial small subunit ribosomal RNA". The record is from RNAcentral. Lineage: Eukaryota; Viridiplantae; Streptophyta; Magnoliopsida; Poales; Poaceae.
AUGGGAAAUAUGACUAAAACUCUGUUCUCCGGAACAAUGCAGCGAGCCAAUGACUUAUUGGAAAUAAUAUAUACUGAUGUAUGCGGUCCAAUGAGUGUUGAGGCACGCGGCGGGUAUCGUUAUUUGCUGACCUUCACAGGUGAUUUAAGUAGAUAUGGGUAUAUCUACUUAAUGAAACACAAGUCUGAAACAUUUGAAAAGUUCAAAGAAUUUCAGAGUGAAGUGGAGAAUCAUCGUAACGAUAAAAUAAAGUUUCUACGAUCUGAUCAUGGAGGUGAAUAUUUGAGUUAUCAGUUUGGCCUUCAUUUAAAGCAAUGUGGAAUAGUUUCACAACUCACGCCACCUGGAACACCACAACGUAAUGGUGUGUCCGAACAUCUUAACCAUACUUUAUUAGAUAUGGUGCGAUCUAUGAUGUCUCUUACUGAUUUACCACUAUCAUUUUGGGGGUAUGCAUUAGAGACAACUGCAUUCACAUUAAAUAGGGCCUAG